This 1491-nucleotide ribosomal RNA is filed under the name metagenome. RNAcentral's name for it is "bacterial SSU rRNA". It matches the Rfam family "Bacterial small subunit ribosomal RNA". The record is from RNAcentral.
AGAGUUUGAUCCUGGCUCAGAUUGAACGCUGGCGGCAUGCCUUACACAUGCAAGUCGAACGGUAACAGGGAGCUUGCUCUGCUGACGAGUGGCGAACGGGUGAGUAAUAUAUCGGAACGUGCCCUGGAGUGGGGGAUAACUAGUCGAAAGAUUAGCUAAUACCGCAUACGAUCUCAGGAUGAAAGUGGGGGAUUCGCAAGGACCUCAUGCUCGUGGAGCGGCCGAUAUCUGAUUAGCUAGUUGGUAGGGUAAAAGCCUACCAAGGCAUCGAUCAGUAGCUGGUCUGAGAGGACGACCAGCCACACUGGGACUGAGACACAGCCCAGACUCCUACGGGAGGCAGCAGUGGGGAAUUUUGGACAAUGGGCGCAAGCCUGAUCCAGCAAUGCCGCGUGAGUGAAGAAGGCCUUCGGGUUGUAAAGCUCUUUUGUCAGGGAAGAAACGGUUUGGCUUAAUACGCUGAGCUAAUGACGGUACCUGAAGAAUAAGCACCGGCUAACUACGUGCCAGCAGCCGCGGUAAUACGUAGGGUGCAAGCGUUAAUCGGAAUUACUGGGCGUAAAGCGUGCGCAGGCGGUUAUGUAAGACAGAUGUGAAAUGCCCGGGCUUAACCUGGGAACUGCAUUUGUGACUGCAUGGCUAGAGUGUGUCAGAGGGGGGUAGAAUUCCACGUGUAGCAGUGAAAUGCGUAGAUAUGUGGAGGAAUACCGAUGGCGAAGGCAGCCCCCUGGGAUAACACUGACGCUCAUGCACGAAAGCGUGGGGAGCAAACAGGAUUAGAUACCCUGGUAGUCCACGCCCUAAACGAUGUCUACUAGUUGUCGGGUCUUAAUUGACUUGGUAACGCAGCUAACGCGUGAAGUAGACCGCCUGGGGAGUACGGUCGCAAGAUUAAAACUCAAAGGAAUUGACGGGGACCCGCACAAGCGGUGGAUGAUGUGGAUUAAUUCGAUGCAACGCGAAAAACCUUACCUACCCUUGACAUGUCAGAGAGCUCGAAGAGAUUUGAGUGUGCUCGAAAGAGAAUCUGAACACAGGUGCUGCAUGGCUGUCGUCAGCUCGUGUCGUGAGAUGUUGGGUUAAGUCCCGCAACGAGCGCAACCCUUGUCAUUAGUUGCUACGAAAGGGCACUCUAAUGAGACUGCCGGUGACAAACCGGAGGAAGGUGGGGAUGACGUCAAGUCCUCAUGGCCCUUAUGGGUAGGGCUUCACACGUCAUACAAUGGUACAUACAGAGGGCUGCCAACCCGCGAGGGGGAGCUAAUCCCAGAAAGUGUAUCGUAGUCCGGAUUGGAGUCUGCAACUCGACUCCAUGAAGUUGGAAUCGCUAGUAAUCGCGGAUCAGCAUGUCGCGGUGAAUACGUUCCCGGGUCUUGUACACACCGCCCGUCACACCAUGGGAGCGGGUUUUACCAGAAGUAGGUAGCCUAACCGCAAGGAGGGCGCUUACCACGGUAGGAUUCGUGACUGGGGUGAAGUCGUAACAAGGUA